This 399-nucleotide ribosomal RNA is filed under the name uncultured bacterium. Its description in RNAcentral is "bacterial SSU rRNA". It matches the Rfam family "Bacterial small subunit ribosomal RNA", at positions 29 to 418 of the family's 1533-position model. The record is from RNAcentral.
AACGAACGUUAGCGGCGCGCCUAACACAUGCAAGUCGAACGCGACAGGGGCAACUCUGUUGAGUGGCGCACGGGUGAGUAACACGUAGGUAAUCUUCCCUCGAGUGGUGGAUAACCCUCCGAAAGGAGAGCUAAUACAGCAUGAGACCACGGCUUCGAAAGGAGCUGAGGUCAAAGCGGAGGAUCGCAAGACUUCGCGCUUGAGGAUGAGCCUGCGGCCCANCAGGUAGUUGGCGGGGUAAUGGCCCACCAAGCCUAAGACGGGUAGCUGGUCUGAGAGGAUGAUCAGCCACACUGGAACUGAGACACGGUCCAGACUCCUACGGGAGGCAGCAGUGGGGAAUCUUGCGCAAUGGACGAAAGUCUGACGCAGCGACGCCGCGUGGGUGAUGAAGGCCUU